UUUUUAUUUUUUCCCAUUGUAGUUGAUUCACAGUGUUCUGUCCAUUUCUACUGUAGAGCAAGAUGACCCAGUCACACGCAUAUAUACAUUCUUUUUCUCACCUUAUCCUCCCUCAUGUUCCAUCAUAAGUGACUAGAUACAGUUCUCUGUGCUAUGCAGCAGGAUCUCAUUGCUUAUCCAUUCCAAAGGCAAUCAUUUGCAUCUAUUAACCCCCAAUCCCCAGGCCAUCCCACUCCCUCCUCCUCCCCCCUUGGCAACCACAAGUGGGUUCUCCAAGCCCAUGAGUUUCUUUUCUGUGGAAAGGUUCAUUUGUGCCACAUAUUAGAUUCCAGAUAGAAGUGAUAUCAUAAGGUAUUUGUCUUUCUCUUUCUGACUCACAGAAAAGUAAUCAUUGUUAGGGAGUAUUUAUUGGUCAAGUACCAAAUUUUAUUUGCUUUGGCAGGUCUAAGCAUAGAGGAAAGGAGGCAGCCUACCCCCACCUGCUUCUCCUCCCUGCCCCAUCCCCACCAACCCCACCUGAUCCUGCAGAAAUGCCAAGUCUUCCCUGCCAUCCUCUCUAAAUCCUCGGAGAUUUUUCUUCGUGAGUAUUUCUGUACCCAUCAACCUUCAGGUCCAGCAUUUGAAAAGCACAGGGACUAGUGCUAAGAUGGAUUUCAUACAGGUAACUAUCUCCCAUUCCCAUGGUCUCAACACUUCUCUGAGUCAGAGAAUCCCUCUCUGCCCUCUUCUUGGGGACGUUUGCCCUGCCUUCUCAGUGACACCGUGCUCAGCCCAAGGAUCCUCAGCUCCAGACCUGCCGGGCAGGAUACUGUCCUCUGCCCAUUAACACGUGCAGUUCUUCAAAGAUCUUUAGAUUGGAUACGGCUGUCUUAGCCCUGGGUGUGUAUAGAUAAUAGAUGUCCCGUGCCGUUGCUGGAAGGUUCUGCUUAUCUAUUUAGAUGAGUCUCAAGUGCUUUUCCCAAGUGGAUCAAUCAUCCAUUAAAAGGCAGAACUAAGGCGUUUCCGUCGUGGCCCAGUGGAAACAAAUCCGACUAGGAACCAUGAGGUUUUGGAUUCGUUUCUGCUGCACCAUGACGGGAACUCCCACAACUCUGCUUUUAACUGCUGUAUGUCCUGGGGGUCCAAGAAAAAUUUUAGUUUGAAAAAAAAUUUUUUCCUAUUUCUAUAUAGAUAUAAAAUAUAUGUAUAUUUCACACAUAUACACAUCUAUAUAUGAUACACAUAUACAACUAUAUAUAUGAUUGCUACCAUCUGUUUUGUCAAUGAAACUCUAUGCACAAUUUCUUCUGUGCCCAUAAUCAACCUUGGGGUCUCACGGGUAGGUCAACUGGAAGAUGGUUUGUACACAUUCGAAGUUUUAGCAGCUGGUAUAUCAUAAAAGGAAGGCUAUUCGCACUGGGCACAUUCUGUCCACCGAGGAUGCAGACAGCCAGCCACACACAUCUUACUGCACAGAGAAACAAUAUACGAGGAUCUUGAAGACGUCUUAACCAUACGAGAACUGCAUUUUGAAGGGAAAAAAAAAGCCAUUUUAUGAAAU
This 1540-nucleotide long non-coding RNA is filed under the name Sus scrofa (pig). RNAcentral describes it as "lncRNA (ENSSSCG00030061875.1)". The record is from RNAcentral. Lineage: Eukaryota; Metazoa; Chordata; Mammalia; Artiodactyla; Suidae.